This 505-nucleotide ribosomal RNA is filed under the name uncultured bacterium. RNAcentral's name for it is "partial 16S ribosomal RNA". It matches the Rfam family "Bacterial small subunit ribosomal RNA", at positions 28 to 507 of the family's 1533-position model. The record is from RNAcentral.
GACGAACGCUGGCGGCGUGCCUAAUACAUGCAAGUAGAACGCACAGUUUAUACCUUCGCUUGCUACACCAUAGACUGUGAGUUGCGAACGGGUGAGUAACGCGUAGGUAACCUGCCUGGUAGCGUGGGAUAACUAUUGGAAACGAUAGCUAAUACCGCAUAAUAUUAAUUAUUGCAUGAUAAUUAAUUGAAAGGUGCAAUUGCACCACUACCAGAUGGACCUGCGUUGUAUUAGCUAGUAGGUGAGGUAACGGCUCACCUAGGCGACGAUACAUAGCCGACCUGCGAGGGUGAGCGGCCACCCUGGGACGGAGACACGGCACAGACUCCUACGGGAGGCAGCAGGAGGGAUACUUGGGCAAUGGACGAAAGACUGACCGAGCAACGCCGAGUGAGGGAAGAAGGACGUCGGAUCGUAAAGCUCGGUUGUAAGGGAAGAAAGGGUGUGCGAGUGGAAAGAUCACACUGUGACGGUAUCUUAUCAGAAAGGGACGGCUAACUACGUG